This 415-nucleotide long non-coding RNA is filed under the name Macaca mulatta (Rhesus monkey). RNAcentral's name for it is "lncRNA (ENSMMUG00000063618.1)". The record is from RNAcentral. Lineage: Eukaryota; Metazoa; Chordata; Mammalia; Primates; Cercopithecidae.
UGAUUAUAGAAAAGCUAAAACCAACAGUGCGAUAGCUGAAUUCCUCUCAUUUCUAUUAAUAGCUGGUGAAUUUUACCAACAACUAUUUGCUCAAGUAAUGGAAGCAGAGAGCCAUAAGAAAAGUUUACAAGCAUUGGGUUGCAUUUGAAGAUCUCAGCAAAAAUAUAAAUGUAUCCUCCCAGUGACAUAUAAAUAACCCAGAGUUCCCUCAUGCUCAGUCUCAAGGAAAUAACUGGCACACUCUAGUGAUCCGAACUUUCCCAAAGGCUACAAGAAUGAGCUAACACACUCCAAGACUGUGACAUUUUUUCUACGUACAGAAUUCUCACCCUCAGGCAGGAAGAACAGCCCCAAGAAUUCCAGGUUGCCAACAGUUUAUUAAUCAAGUGAAAGCAAACUCAAAAUUUUCUCAGAA